GUGGCUAUGUUUUACAAGUAACCUUGUGCUGGUUGGCUGAAAUAUGAGUCCACAGCAUUUAAACCAAUAAUAUUGUACAAGUUCUAGUGUUUUCCUUAGACUCCUGGGUAUCGGUUAGCUGCAAAGCUGCCAAAGGACAUUCCACAGUCAAAGGAAAUUGAGUGUAGGUGGGCAGUCCAGAGCCCAAGUGCAUACUUUAUAAUCUCUCAGUUGUUAUACUUACGAGGAUACAGAGGUACAAACAUGUGGACUGUGAUCCACUUGCAGUUGGUCUUAUAAAAAGAACCUAAGGAUCAAUGGCAUUCAGGCUGGAAAGAGCAUCCCUGGAUGAUAACAGAUGAUGAUUUCUAGGGGAAAAUAAACAAUGUAAGUACUCAAAUAUUUCUAUAUUU
Molecule: long non-coding RNA, 392 nt
Filed under: Anas platyrhynchos platyrhynchos (common mallard)
Lineage: Eukaryota; Metazoa; Chordata; Aves; Anseriformes; Anatidae
Description: lncRNA (ENSAPLG00000024707.1)
Source: RNAcentral